CUGGGGCAUGUGAACCCCACCCCAGCUGCUCGGGACCCCGGUGGUCCAAGGCGAUCUGCGUGGCCUGGGCAGCCACGGGGUGGGCGUGACAGAGAGGGAGAGCGCUUCUGGGGAGGGGGCACAGACCUUCGUGUUUAGGUCUCCCAAAUUCAGGGCACAGCUCUUGACCAGCUCCUUUUUCCUGGCUCACGGGGCAUGACCCGUGGGUGAGUGAGUGACCCCCAGGAGGCGGGAAGUCAUUCCCUGCAGGCAGCUGGAGGGGGGACUCCAGUGCAGACCCCGCCCUGGGGUAUGAGUUCCCCACCAGCUCGUGACCUUGGGAGGCCUCGCUGCCCUCCUGGGUCGCUGUAGGACUCAGAUGGGGAGAUGCCCACGCCGCCCUGGCACAGCGUGUCCACCGUAAGCACCCGGAGCCAGUCAGACGCACGUCCUGCACAGAAGACACGGGUGAACGCUCAGCCUCGUCACAACCCACAGACUCACAGCAGAAGGGAGCGCGAAAUGUUAAUUCAGCCCUGAGAAAAGCAUCUGCGUUUCACAAGGGCCCACCUCGCGCCCCGUCUCCCACCCACCAUGCUCGCCGCGCCACACAGCCGGCCUUUGCCCUCGGAGGUCGGUGUCACUGGGUUUUCUGUCUUUGGGACUCUGCUCCGGGAGCACUCUGGUGGUGGGACCCCUGCAGCCAGAGUCCCAGACACGAUGGAGCAGCAUUCAGCCACCCGCCAGCGGACGGGGCAGACGACCUCCAGGGGCAGGAGGCAGAGAGCAUCCUGCCCAGGGCUGAGGGCUUAGCACUCACCCAGGGCUCCUUUAUGUCAGCUGUGGGCGUUGAGUAGACGUGGCUCCCGAUUAUUGAGGGCGCGUGGACGCGGGAGACCUCCCCCAAGGCUGCUGCUCAGAGACCCCGUGGCCAGAGCCAGGCCCGCCCAGCCUCCACCGCCCGCUCCGUAAUGGGAUCGGGAUUAAAUUGGGAGACUUCUAAGA
Molecule: long non-coding RNA, 984 nt
Organism: Herpailurus yagouaroundi (jaguarundi)
Lineage: Eukaryota; Metazoa; Chordata; Mammalia; Carnivora; Felidae
Exons: 2
Source: RefSeq, a predicted model, not a curated record